UCGUCCCUCCGCAUAGGCAUAAGUAAAUGUAAUCCCUCGAAUUGAGCUCGUGAGCCUGUGAUGGGUGAUGACCGAGGCUCCGUACUAACCUUAGUAGGUGACAGUAUGGACAAUUCGAGUACCUUUCUAGAACCAAAACCACAUAUAGUGAACCGUACGAGCCACCCAAUUAGAGCCAUGCCGAACCUCCGUCCGUCGAAUAGUCACCAAAAUAAGUACACGGGAGAAACGCCUCUUACCUUUUAUUUCUUUUGCAUUUACACUUAUUUAAUGAAUUGAGUCUGUUUAAUAAAUUGGGC
RNAcentral lists this long non-coding RNA (299 nucleotides) under Gossypium raimondii (Peruvian cotton). RNAcentral's name for it is "long non-coding RNA (GRAI_LNC006766)". The record is from RNAcentral. Lineage: Eukaryota; Viridiplantae; Streptophyta; Magnoliopsida; Malvales; Malvaceae.